Long non-coding RNA from Triticum aestivum (bread wheat), 1358 nucleotides. RefSeq lists it as uncharacterized. The transcript is spliced from 7 exons. The record is from RefSeq and is a predicted model, not a curated record. Lineage: Eukaryota; Viridiplantae; Streptophyta; Magnoliopsida; Poales; Poaceae.
CCUAGGACCCAGGUCGAGCUGGUCAAGCGUCGGCUAUGGCGCUUCCAGAUCCGCCUUGGUGCUUCCCGAUCCACGUCGCCGUUGGUUGCUUCUACCCGGGCCGCGACGGAGGUGCUCGACGUUGCCUCCACACCCACAACGCGUGCCGGGAGAGGAGCCCAUGUGUGGUUCUUCUUGGGCCACGACGCGGGCGUGCGGUGGGUGGCCUCUGGCGCCCGCUCGCCGGCGCCGAACCAGGCUCGGGCUCCACGGAUCUACGGGGGUCGCCUCACCCCGACCCCCUCGCAGAUUCUCCCGCCCCUCCUCUCUGGUCUCUCUCUUACUGACUCAUCGAAGCCCCCCCAUUUCCCCGUUACAUUCAAAUCGCUGCCGGAUUCUACUCUUCUCCAUCCCUCGAUCGAUUGCUAGUCGGCAAGCAAACAUCCAUCAGUCAGCCGGCCGGACAAGGACAAGGAGCCGCCAUCUACUGCUGCAAGGCAGGGAUUUCUAUUCUUGCGAUAAAAGGCAAGAAAUGGUGGGCCGGUGGGGCUAUGGACCCGAGGUGAAAAGUCCUCAUAUUAAUGGGAAAAACAGAUUCUUUUGCACUUAACAUAAGCAGCAGCCAAUGAUCUUAGUGGAUAUCAACACUCCUGGAGUGCAGAUAAAGAGACCAUUGUUAGUCUUUGGGUUCGAUGACCCACUACAAGGACAUGCAGAGAUUACUUCUGAUAACGUGUGUUUUCCGGUCACAAAUAUCCUCCUCGGGGAAGGAUGUGGUUUCGAGAUUGCUCAAGGAAGACUAGGCCUUGGAAGACUACUUCAUUGCAUGAUACUAAGAGUAGUAGCGGAACAUGGCAUGGAUGUGAUGGUUGAGGGGGCCUUACGCAGGACCGCUUUUGGAAAGAAGAUCACACAUCAUGGUUCCUUUCAGUCGGACCUGGUAAAGACAAGGAUUUCUAUGAGAAAAAUGGCAAAAAUGGUGGACGGGUAGGACUAUUGACCCGAGUGUAAAGUCCUCAUAUUAAUGGAAAAAUAGUUUUGUCCGCACCUAAAUGCAAGCAGCAGUCAGUGAUCUUAUUGGAUAUCAACACUCCCGGUUGAAGAGAAAGAGACCAAUGUUAGUCUUUGGGUUCAAUGAUGCAUCACAUGGACAUGCAGAGAUUGCUUCUGAUAACUUGCGUGUUCCAUUCAUGAAUAUCCUCCAUGGGGAAGGACAUGGUUUCGAGCUUACUGAAGGAAGGCUUGGUCCUGGAAGAUCACAUCAUUGCCUGAGACUAAGAGUAGCAGCAGAAUGUGGCACGCACAUGAUGGUUGAGCGGGCCCUAAGGACUGCUUUUGGAAAGAAGAUUGCACAGCAUGGUUCCUUUCAGUUGGACUGG